UCCGUAGGUGAACCUGCGGAAGGAUCAUUCACACGCAUCCAACUUUGAAUUCAUUGUGAACCACCUGCUGUGAGUUUGUGCUCUUGGAUGGAGACAACUUGUCUACAACUUUGGGCAGAAUCUCGCGGGUAGUCCGGGGGAUAUUGGACCGUCUUCCUUUAUUGUCUGGCUACCAUUGUUGUCUGACCAAUGUUAUGCAUGAUGAUCAAUCUUCCUGGUGACGUGGGUGACCACUGUGUGCUUAACAUACAACUUUCAGCGACGGAUGUCUCGGCUCGAACAACGAUGAAGGGCGCAGCGAAGUGUGAUAAGCAUUGUGAAUUGCAGAAUUCCGUGAACCAAUAGGGAUUUGAACGUAUACUGCGCUUUCGGGAUAUCCCUGAAAGCAUGCCUGCUUCAGUGUCAAGAUACUUUCAUGCCACUGCCAACUUGUCAUGUGCAUCGCACAUGCAUCUGACAGCAGUGCGUGUCUGUGCAUUAAGGUGCUCUGCGCUCUUGAUGCAUACAGUGCAUGGGUUUCGUGCUCUGUCAGCAACUUGAUAAACACCUUGUGUAACCUGUUGCCUUGUCAGCUGCACUGAUAGCCUUGCCUCUUAUCUUCCCCUUCGUGGCUACUUUCCAUGACAUGAAGUUAGGUAAGCAAACCCGCUGAAUUUAAGCAUAUC
Molecule: ribosomal RNA, 665 nt
Filed under: uncultured eukaryote
Lineage: Eukaryota
Description: eukaryotic LSU rRNA
Rfam family: 5.8S ribosomal RNA (bases 251-405)
Source: RNAcentral